Molecule: non-coding RNA, 37 nt
Organism: Planktothrix serta PCC 8927
Lineage: Bacteria; Bacillati; Cyanobacteriota; Cyanophyceae; Oscillatoriales; Microcoleaceae
Source: Rfam
GUUGCAAUAACCAAUAAUCCCUAUCAGGGAUUGAAAC